CUCAGCCCGGGGUAUAUAGUGAGACCUCGUCUCUACAAAAAAUUGAGACAGGGCCUCACUCUGUCGCCCAGGCUGGA
Molecule: microRNA precursor, 77 nt
Organism: Cercocebus atys (sooty mangabey)
Lineage: Eukaryota; Metazoa; Chordata; Mammalia; Primates; Cercopithecidae
Source: Ensembl